AGCAAAUUUCAUCCAUUUCUUCUGUAAAAAAUCGGCUUGGUUGACAAAAAGAAAAAAACAGAUAGUUACAUGCAACGUGUGACGUGUACCUUAUGCUGAUAUACAAUGACCCAUUUUUAACAGUAAAAAUGGAUGAAAUUUUUGGCA
Gossypium raimondii (Peruvian cotton) is the source of this 147-nucleotide non-coding RNA. Lineage: Eukaryota; Viridiplantae; Streptophyta; Magnoliopsida; Malvales; Malvaceae. The record is from Rfam.